GUCGUAUAACGUAGAAAGAACUCACGGAUGUUACAUACUUUUAAUAUACAAAUACAAACACACAUGUGAACGAGUUGAAUACCAAAACUGAACUCCUCUCUGACAUUUGAGAAUCGUAUAUAUAAUAUCAACCUGUCCUAAGGACAUUUUAUAAUGUAUAUAAAUACACACGUUUUAGAGUUACAUAUAUAAAUCAUCCUGACAUAAGGUCAGUCCGUAUGCAUCUCCUGCACUAUAAUACUCAUAAAUCAUGUCAUGUUCCAUAGUGCACAUUAAGAAAUAAAAACCCUAAUAUAUGUAUAUACAUGUUGACUUGUCAUUCUUUUUGAAUAUAGCAUGUAUGACUAAUUAGCCUGUGCAACCAGCUAUACGACAAUACCUCCAUUACUUAUAAAAAAAAUAUUUAAAAAAAAAAGUUUUAAACAAGGUUACUAUCAAAUAUUUCAAACUCGUUGUAACAAAUCAACUUGACAUCUGUUUUACCCCUAAGGUAAGGAUGUUUUACAUCAACCUUUUGUUACUUUAUUCUCAAAGAAAAAUCGCCGAAGGUAAUAUCCGGUCAGAGAUGUCCGGUCAGAGAUGUUAUCUAAUGACUUUUUAUUAGUUUAUUUUUAAAAGAAAAAAUCACCUUAAGUCAUAUAAUCUCUGAUUGGUCAAUUGUAUAUCGUGCGUAACCUUUUUGUUUGAAUUCAUUUUAAUAGAAAAAUUUGGAUAGAUACAAUGUAGCACAGGUAAGUUUACUUUUGAUAUUAGUUUUAAAAGUUUUGAAUAAGUAAAAUAAUAAUUAUUGUUAAAUGUUCGAUUAAUCUUUAUGCAAAAAAAAUACAAAAAUAAUAUGUUAAAGUAACAUCUUUAUGCAAAAAAAAUACAAAAAUAAUAUGUUAAAGUAACAUAAGGUAAAUAUUAUAGCUUUAUAAGUUUUUCAAUAAAUAUUAAAUUUCCUUUAUUUCAUCAUAAAAAAAUAAAAAAAAGUUAAUUUCUAGAGAUCAAGAAAACAUAAAAAACAAACAAAUAAGUUAACAAUAUUCAAAGAACAAAUUAUUUUAAGAAUAUUAAUUAGAAAAACUUUAAGGUAUAAAAUUUAACAGAAUUAUAUGUAUGAUAAGAGUAGAAAAGAUAUUUAUAUACGAAAAAGUUAAAAAAAAUAUUAUAAACAAUUGAUAAUUGAUAAAAUGUCCAGGUGUUUCAUUUCCUGUAAAACGUGUAUUGUGCAUGCGCAUUGAACACUUCCUGUGACACGUAUAUUUUUUGUAACAGGUACUUGCUGACAUCAGUAUGGCUUGGUCUUCGUGACGUGUCGGGAAUUUCAAAUCGUUGAUAUAUGAACAACAAGACAACUGUCAUAAAAUGCAUAGGAUAAGAAUUCCAAUGAAAGAUGUUCUCUAGUGUACUUCGUUGUGUCCCGCUAUCCAAAAUCGUCGCUUCGACAUCCUGGUCACGGCACCAAAUCAACCGUUGUCGUAUAACGUAGGAAGAACUCACGGAUGUUACAUACUUUUAAUAUACAAAUACAAACACACAUGUGAACGAGUUGAAUACCAAAACUGAACUCCCUCUCUGACAUUUGAGAAUAGUAUAUAUAAUAUCAACCUGUCCUAAGGACAUUUUAUAAUGUAUAUAAAUACACACGUUUUAGAGUUACAUAUAUAAAUCAUCCUGACAUAAGGUCAGUCCGUAUGCAUCUCCUGCACUAUAAUACUCAUAAAUCAUGUCAUGUUCCAUAGUGCACAUUAAGAAAUAAAAACCCUAAUAUAUGUAUAUACAUGUUGACUUGUCAUUCUUUUUGAAUAUAGCAUGUAUGACUAAUUAGCCUGUGCAACCAGCUAUACGACAAG
Long non-coding RNA from Ruditapes philippinarum (Manila clam), 1835 nucleotides. RefSeq lists it as uncharacterized. The transcript is spliced from 3 exons. The record is from RefSeq and is a predicted model, not a curated record. Lineage: Eukaryota; Metazoa; Mollusca; Bivalvia; Venerida; Veneridae.